Molecule: ribosomal RNA, 491 nt
Filed under: uncultured bacterium
Lineage: Bacteria
Description: partial 16S ribosomal RNA
Rfam family: Bacterial small subunit ribosomal RNA
Source: RNAcentral
AGUGAACGCUGGCGGUAGGCCUAACACAUGCAAGUCGAACGGCAGCACAGUAAGAGCUUGCUCUUACGGGUGGCGAGUGGCGGACGGUGAGGAAUACAUCGGAAUCUACUUUUUCGUGGGGGAGAACGUAGGGAAACUUACGCUAAUACCGCAUACGACCUACGGGUGAAAGCAGGGGAUCUUCGGACCUUGCGCGAUUGAAUGAGCCGAUGUCGGAUUAGCUAGUUGGCGGGGUAAAGGCCCACCAAGGCGACGAUCCGUAGCUGGUCUGAGAGGAUGAUCAGCCACACUGGAACUGAGACACGGUCCAGACUCCUACGGGAGGCAGCAGUGGGGAAUAUUGGACAAAGGGCGCAAGCCUGAUCCAGCCAUACCGCGUGGGUGAAGAAGGCCUUCGGGUUGUAAAGCCCUUUUGUUGGGAAAGAAAAGCAGCAGGUUAAUACCCCGCUGUUCUGACGGUACCCAAAGAAUAAGCACCGGCUAACUUCGUG